AAGUAUUAAGUGAUCCACCUGGGGAGACGUUCGCAAGAAUGAACUCAAAGAAUUGACGGGGGUCCGCACAAGCGUUGGAGCAUGUGGUUUAAUUCGAUAUUACGCGAGGAACCUUACCUGGGUACUAUUAUGUUGAAAAAAUUAAGAAAUUAAUUAUUCUUUCGAGACAACAUACAAGGUGCUGCAUGGCUGUCGUCAGCUCGUGCCGUGAGGUGUUGGGUUAAGUCUCCUAACGAGCGCAACCCUUAUAUUUAGUUGCCAACACAUAAUGGUGGGAACUCUAAAUAAACUGCCUACAAAAGUAGAGAGGAAGGAGGGGAUGAGGUCAAGUCAUCAUGGCCCUUACAUCCAGGGCUACACACGUGCUACAAUGGUAUAUACAGAGAGAAGCUACUUGGUAACAAGAUGCUAAUCUUUAAAAUAUAUCUCAGUUCGAAUUGAGGUCUGCAACUCGACCUCAUGAAGUCGGAAUCGCUAGUAAUCGCGCAUCAGCAAUGGCGCGGUGAAUACGUACUCGGACCUUGUACACACCGCCCGUCAAGCCAUGGAAGUUAAUAAAAUCUAAAGAUAGUAACCAAAAGGAGCUAUUAAGGAUUAGGUUAAUAACUGGGGCUAAGUCGUAACAGGUAACCAGGGCGAAUUCCGCACACUGCGCCGUACUAGUGAUCCGGCUC
RNAcentral lists this ribosomal RNA (674 nucleotides) under uncultured bacterium. Its description in RNAcentral is "bacterial SSU rRNA". It matches the Rfam family "Bacterial small subunit ribosomal RNA", at positions 855 to 1533 of the family's 1533-position model. The record is from RNAcentral.